Molecule: precursor RNA, 777 nt
Filed under: Trypanosoma brucei
Lineage: Eukaryota; Euglenozoa; Kinetoplastea; Trypanosomatida; Trypanosomatidae
Description: partial precursor ribosomal RNA
Rfam family: Eukaryotic small subunit ribosomal RNA (bases 722-777)
Source: RNAcentral
AACGCUAUUAUUAGAACAGUUUCUGUACUAUAUUGUGUAUUUCCCUGUGUGCGGGAUGCAUGUUUCUUUGUCCUGUUGCAUAUAUAAAAGGGAGUUAUUAUAGCGUUGCGUUGUGUGCGUCCGUUGUUGGCUUGCAUGAUGUGUAGUGAAUAUAUUUCGCUGCCUCAUCUGCCUUCUUAACGGGUUGUGUUGUACGUGUGUGGGGUUUCUGUGCACUCUUUCGUGCCGCGAUGCGCCCACUCCGUCGUCACUUUAUUGCACCACGCCGCCUGAUAUUAUAUGCGUGUGAAAGUUGCAUUGCCGCUGCUUUUUACACAUUCAACGUGUGUGUUUGUGCUUGCGUGAAGUCGCUUGCCGCAUGUUAUCCAUGCUCUCUCGUGUGUGUACGCCGCGUACGGGGAGGUGUGUGUGUGAAAAUGUGUGCAUUCGUCUGUAUAUUCACGUGGGUUUGUGUUGGUUGUGUAGGGCUUGGCACCUGAUAGAGUGACGCCUUGAGGAAUCUCAGCCUGAAAAGGGUGUAUAAUAAAUUUAUACUGAAAAAUAUGGGGUCAUCAGGAAAUACACUAUAAACGAAGUAGUGUGUUUUGUGUUAUGAAUAUUAUGCGAGAUCGUGUGUACAUAUAUGCGCGUCCCCUGGAGAGGGAAACACCACCCACUCGCAGCCACACAUGUGGUGUGCUGUUUGUGUGUUCCCCACAGCGGAUCACGCGCUUACACUUGAGAUCUGGUUAAUUCUGCCAGUAGUCAUAUGCUUGUUUCAAGGACUUAGCCAUGCAU